GACUAAGCGGUUGCCUACAGCGACAACAUUAAGGGCAGUAGAAUUGUGAAAAUUCUAAUUGUCAAUGUCGUGAGCCUACUGACAGAAUUUUUUUUUGGACUGGAUAAAAAAAUCGGAGGAGCAAAUAAAAAUACAUGCCCGAGCAAAAUUUGAACUGUUUUAUUUUAUUUUUCGAUUUUUGACGAAGUUUUAAAAAUUCAAAAUAUGUAAUUUGUUUCUUUGAAAAAAAAAUCAGAAUUUAAUAAAAUUGAGGUAGGAAGCAAAAACUUGUCCAUGUUUUGUUUCCGAUCUCCCACAUUGAUUAGUGAGGGGCUUUGAGUAUUUUUUGGUUUCCGUUUUGAGAAAAAUUCACACAAAAAGAGCGCAGGAAAAUUGAAGAUGUCAAAAAUCAUACUUGGAUAAAAACAAAACAGAUAUCAGCUUUCUACCUAAACUUUAUCGAUUUUUUUUUGAAUGUAGAUAAUAAAUGUAGGCACAUACAACAGUACAAGUGCCUAUGUAAGUUUUCUUUUUCAAAAUUUAACGGCCGGAUAGUUUUACAAUGACUAUGAAUUAUGAUGGAUUGCGAAAAAAAAGUCGCACGAUUUUUACCAAAUUUAGUUGAAAGUCAUUCAGAAAAAAUAUUUGCUCCGGAGGUUUAUCUGACGGGAAAAUACGAGCUUUCAAAGAAGGAGCAUUUUUGAAUAAACAAAAUCGUAGCAUUUUCGCUCUAGCUCCUACUCAAUCUGUUUGGAAAAAUUGACCUUUUUUUUGAUUCUGCGUAAUCAAAAUUCAAAACCACUAGUAGGGUUCUACUGAGCAAUUGAAAACUCUCAAAUUGCUUCAUUUUUGGGCAAAUUCGUGUUCUGAAAAUAUUCUCUUUUCAAUAUUUCGCAUCAACUACGCCAAACCAUAUCGAAAGAUAUCAUUUCUGAAACCGAGGAAUUAUUUUCGAAUACAGAAGUGGAAAGUUUUUGGUCAUUAUUGCCAAUUUAAAAAAAAUCGAGAAAAAAUUAUGUAAAAUUUACUGAAUUUUUUUAAAUUUUCGGAUGAUUAGUGGGAAACAAAUUUCUAGAAAAUAACUGUAUGUUCACAUAUCUACAUGGGUUUUUGUUCGUUUUUUCUUUCAUUUUGUACAGAAAUAAGAUGAUUUUUCUUUGCACUUUCUAAAAAUUGAAAAAAAAAUCAUUCUAGUUUGGCACAAAACACAAAAACAGUGAUCCAUAAAACCACAUGUUGUAAGUAUAUCCUACUUAAUGCAUUCACACCUACCAACCAUUCAUUCGGAUAGCCAUUAAUUUAAAAAUUCUUAUUUUAGUGCAAAGGUAGAGAAAAUCUGCCAACGCGGAGGCGUGGGAGACUUCAAAUAAAUUCAUGCCGCAGAGAUACAACGAUCACACUGACUGAAGAAACUGAACCCCCAAAAUGCAGCGCCAUCGGUGAAAGAUGCAAAGAAGUUCCUCUCCCAUAAAGGAAUAAAUAACAAAAAUUCGAUCUCAGUGGUCAUCGGCCGACUUUUUAAAAACAUUUUCUCUGAUAAUCUGAAAGCCAUUAGCAGAUUUCCCAAGUGCUUUUGAAAAAAAAGAAACUUCGGAUUGCGGCCGGUCAACUACCACCACUACUACUAAUGUACUACCUUUUCAGGGGCAAAAGAGUACUACAUCACUGUCAUCACGUUCCAGGAUCGUCAUUUUCUGCAGUCUCGCAUUCCAGCACUGGAUUUAAUCCGGCAGCCAGCUCCACCUUCCUCGCACCCAACCAGAGCGAAGGUGGCAGCAAAAAGUUUGAAUUUAGGCUAUCCCAUGGGGCUAUAAUAUGGCCAAAGACUACAUCCGAAAGCACGGCCACUAAAAAUUUUUUACGAUCGAAAAUAUUUCGAAAAAACCACAGGUCGUAUAGUUCUCAAAUUAACAGAUUCGCGUUUUUUUGGAACAAACAGUCGUUAAUUUCGAUCAUUUUCUUAUGUUCAAUUUUAGCAGUAAGAAGUCUUCAUUUGCUUUCCACAUUGAAACAACUUGUAACUUACAAUAAUUUUUAUAACACAAGAGACAAAUUCUCGCAGAAUGUCAUCUGCUGUUCUCUCGAGCCAUUUUUCAAAUGGUUCAUUCAACCUUUGAAGGCCCAGAUGAAUCCUGAAAUGCGAUGUAAAAAUGCUUUCGAUUUCUUGAAUUAGAUCAACACAAGUAUCACUUUGAUUCACAGUUCGCUCCCCAGCCCCUUAAAACCAUUUCGGAAAUGAUACUUAUUUAUUUGAUUAUCCUCCAAAUCCGACAAGCCAAAAAAUCUAAUUGGGCUAAUUUUGCAACAGUUUGAUAUGAUUUCAUUAGAAGUAAUGAGUGAGUGAAAGCAUACUUCGGAUGAACACCACAUCCUUAUACAGUUGCAAAAUCAACCCUAUUUGAUUUUUUGCCUGGUUAGAUUUGGAGAGUAAUCAAAUAAAUCCGUCCAUCAUUUCCGAAAUGGCUUCAAGGGGCUAGGGAGUGAACAUUGAAUCAAAGUGAUACUUGUGUUAAUCUAAUCCAAGAAAUCUAAAGCAUUUUUACAUCGCAUUUCAGGAUUCACCCAGGCCUUUUAAAAGGGUCCCUCACGCAACAAAUAAUAAAAAUUGAAGCAUUCGAAAAUUCCAAAAAAAAUUUCACCAAACCCUUUUUUCCAAUUUUCAAAAUUAAUUUAAGUCUUUCAUUCUCGCAAGACACCAUCUUUCAUCAAAACAUAGGUGUAUUUCGAGACUUCAAAAGAGAAGAAAACGCAAUCUUAAGUACAUCGGACACAUUUUGAGAUUUAUUAGAUUCUUUUCGCGUUCUUCUUUUUUCCUAUACAUAGGAAGAUUUAUUUCAACUAAAGUGAUACGUGUAACAGGAAAUUGUUUUUAAUGUAAUUUCGUCUGGUAUUCUCGUAUACUUCCACUUUACACCGAUAUUUUUCCAUUCUUCGCGGUGCUGUGUUGUUUGGGCGCGUCUGGCGUUCACUAUUUCCACUUCGCGUCGCGUCGACUUGUAUACUAUAGAUACAUAAGCCAAGCCAAGCCAACACUGGUGGAAUGAAGGAAAAGGAUAGAGAAUAUGUCAAACGAAGCGAAAAUUAUUAUGCAUUAAACGAAUCCACAAGUUUUCGUUCAACAUUAGGUACUUUAAUAUCCAAUGCAGCGUAGUGUAAAAGACAGAAGAUGUAAGAAAGAAAGAGUAAGCCAACGGGGUAAGAUCGAGAAAAAUGGAACGAGAAGGGUGAAGCAGUCAAUACUUUGCUCUUCGUCUAUAGCUACGUACUGAAAGAUGAUGCAGAGAACACGCCUAAGAUUACGACGACACGCUUCAUUUCCCGCCAAUUCUUUUCUCGUUAUCUGCUUGUUCAUUUCUCACGAUAUAUUUCAUUUUUCGAUUGGUAAAAGAUUGUUACGCCUAAAUGGCGUGUAGCAUCUUGGACAAGCCACAACAACCGCCGAUGUCCAGCAAUUAAGGUAGCCACUUGGAGUCCCAAGGUUGUACCUGUGUAUACCUAUACACCUUGUGUUGAUAUCUGUAAUUCAUUUGCGCGCACAGCACCUCCACCGCUACCGCCACACCGGUAGGAAUGAUUUAGUGAUGGUUUUCAUGUGUCAGGUACAAGUCAAGUACUCGAAGCAAGAAGUGUAUUGGUAAAUUAGCGGAGACACAGGCCACCAAUCCGAUAAAUACCGCAGAGUUUGGGUACUUUACGCGUCAUCUAUCGCGUCCUCUUCGUCGUUUCAUUAUCGAGCUGUACUUACGGAUUGGAUAUCCAAACCCGUGGGUAAUUAUCUAGGUGACUCUUUCCAAGAACGUAAGACUCGUAUACAGGAGGAGAAGACGAAGAGGUUGGUAUUUGAACCGUUGGUUUGCGGUCUCAUGUUACACGAUACGUGAUGCGGUCUGAGGUAAUAAUUAGAUUACCUCGCCGAAGAUUCCCUCUUCCUUGUUUUUAUCCUUUAGUCGAUUAUUUCUUUGUUUUUAAUAAAGUACGUCGCGCGUUGUAAUACGGUAAACAAUAAACAUAGAUCAUGACUCGG
This is a long non-coding RNA of Planococcus citri (citrus mealybug), 4003 nucleotides long. RefSeq lists it as uncharacterized. NCBI's taxonomy places the organism in Eukaryota, Metazoa, Arthropoda, Insecta, Hemiptera, Pseudococcidae. The transcript has 2 exons. The record is from RefSeq and is a predicted model, not a curated record.